GCUUACGGCCAUACCAGCCUGGGUACGCCCGAUCUCGUCUGAUCUCGGAAGCUAAGCAGGGUCGGGCCUGGUUAGUACUUGGAUGGGAGACCCCCUGGGAAUACCAGGUGCUGUAAGCA
This 119-nucleotide ribosomal RNA is filed under the name Salmo salar (Atlantic salmon). Lineage: Eukaryota; Metazoa; Chordata; Actinopteri; Salmoniformes; Salmonidae. The record is from RNAcentral.